GAUGAACGCUGGCGGCGUGCCUAAUACAUGCAAGUCGAGCGAACGGACGAGAAGCUUGCUUCUCUGAUGUUAGCGGCGGACGGGUGAGUAACACGUGGAUAACCUACCUAUAAGACUGGGAUAACUUCGGGAAACCGGAGCUAAUACCGGAUAAUAUUUUGAACCGCAUGGUUCAAAAGUGAAAGACGGUCUUGCUGUCACUUAUAGAUGGAUCCGCGCUGCAUUAGCUAGUUGGUAAGGUAACGGCUUACCAAGGCAACGAUGCAUAGCCGACCUGAGAGGGUGAUCGGCCACCCUGGAACUGAGACACGGUCCAGACUCCUACGGGAGGCAGCAGUAGGGAAUCUUCCGCCAUGGGCGACAGCCUGACGGAGCAACGCCGCGUGAGUGAUGAAGGUCUUCGGAUCGUAAAACUCUGUUAUUAGGGAAGAACAUAUGUGUAAGUAACUGUGCACAUCUUGACGGUACCUAAUCAGAAAGCCACGGCUAACUACGUG
RNAcentral lists this ribosomal RNA (497 nucleotides) under uncultured bacterium. RNAcentral describes it as "partial 16S ribosomal RNA". It matches the Rfam family "Bacterial small subunit ribosomal RNA", at positions 28 to 507 of the family's 1533-position model. The record is from RNAcentral.